UACGUAGGGCGCAAGCGUUAUCCGGAAUUAUUGGGCGUAAAGAGCUCGUAGGCGGUUUGUUGCGUCUGCCGUGAAAGCCCGGGGCUCAACUCCGGAUCUGCGGUGGGUACGGGCAGACUUGAGUGAUGUAGGGGAGACUGGAAUUCCUGGUGUAGCGGUGAAAUGCGCAGAUAUCAGGAGGAACACCGGUGGCGAAGGCAGGUCUCUGGGCAUUAACUGACGCUGAGGCGCGAAAGCAUGGGGAGCGAACAGG
This 253-nucleotide ribosomal RNA is filed under the name uncultured bacterium. RNAcentral's name for it is "partial 16S ribosomal RNA". It matches the Rfam family "Bacterial small subunit ribosomal RNA", at positions 524 to 776 of the family's 1533-position model. The record is from RNAcentral.